RNAcentral lists this ribosomal RNA (429 nucleotides) under Acidobacteriota bacterium. RNAcentral's name for it is "Acidobacteria bacterium partial 16S ribosomal RNA". It matches the Rfam family "Bacterial small subunit ribosomal RNA", at positions 355 to 776 of the family's 1533-position model. The record is from RNAcentral. Lineage: Bacteria; Pseudomonadati; Acidobacteriota.
UGGGGAAUUUUGGACAAUGGGGGAAACCCUGAUCCAGCCAUCCCGCGUGUGCGAUGAAGGCCUUCGGGUUGUAAAGCACUUUUGGCAGGAAAGAAACGUCAUGGGUUAAUACCCCGUGAAACUGACGGUACCUGCAGAAUAAGCACCGGCUAACUACGUGCCAGCAGCCGCGGUAAUACGUAGGGUGCAAGCGUUAAUCGGAAUUACUGGGCGUAAAGCGUGCGAAGGCGGUUCGGAAAGAAAGAUGUGAAAUCCCAGAGCUCAACUUUGGAACUGCAUUUUUAACUACCGGGCUAGAGUGUGUCAGAGGGAGGUGGAAUUCCGCGUGUAGCAGUGAAAUGCGUAGAUAUGCGGAGGAACACCGAUGGCGAAGGCAGCCUCCUGGGAUAACACUGACGCUCAUGCACGAAAGCGUGGGGAGCAAACAGG